RNAcentral lists this transfer RNA (69 nucleotides) under Phobaeticus serratipes. RNAcentral describes it as "tRNA-Leu". Lineage: Eukaryota; Metazoa; Arthropoda; Insecta; Phasmatodea; Phasmatidae. The record is from RNAcentral.
ACUAAUUUGGCAGAUUUAAGUGUAUUAAAUUUAGAAUUUAAUUUAUAUUGUGUUUUACAAUAAUUAGUA